AACGAACGCUGGCGGCAGGCUUAACACAUGCAAGUCGAGAGACCUUCGGGUCUAGCGGCGGACGGGUGAGUAACGCGUGGGAACGUGCCCUUCUCUACGGAAUAGCCCCGGGAAACUGGGAGUAAUACCGUAUACGCCCUUUGGGGGGAAAGAUUUAUCGGAGAAGGAUCGGCCCGCGUUGGAUUAGGUAGUUGGUGGGGUAAUGGCCCACCAAGCCGACGAUCCAUAGCUGGUUUGAGAGGAUGAUCAGCCACACUGGGACUGAGACACGGCCCAGACUCCUACGGGAGGCAGCAGUGGGGAAUUCUUAGACAAUGGGGGCAAACCCUGAUCUAGCCAUGCC
This 343-nucleotide ribosomal RNA is filed under the name Paracoccus marcusii. Its description in RNAcentral is "bacterial SSU rRNA". It matches the Rfam family "Bacterial small subunit ribosomal RNA", at positions 29 to 398 of the family's 1533-position model. Lineage: Bacteria; Pseudomonadati; Pseudomonadota; Alphaproteobacteria; Rhodobacterales; Paracoccaceae. The record is from RNAcentral.